RNAcentral lists this ribosomal RNA (446 nucleotides) under uncultured bacterium. Its description in RNAcentral is "SSU rRNA". It matches the Rfam family "Bacterial small subunit ribosomal RNA", at positions 26 to 518 of the family's 1533-position model. The record is from RNAcentral.
AGAACGAACGCUGGCGGCAGGCCUCAAACAUGCAAGUCUAGGGGGGUAGCAAUACCCACCGGCGGACGGGUGCGUAACACGUGGGAAUAUACCUUUCGGUACGGAACAACUGCGGGAAACUGCAGCUAAUACCGUAUACGUCCUAACGGAGAAAGAUUUAUCGCCGAAGGAUUAGCCCGCGUCCGAUUAGCUAGUUGGUGAGGUAAUGGCUCACCAAGGCUCCGAUCGGUAGCUGUUCUGAGAGGAAGAUCAGCCACACUGGGACUGAGACACGGCCCAGACUCCUACGGGAGGCAGCAGUUGGGAAUCUUGGACAAUGGGGGAAACCCUGAUCCAGCCAUGCCGCGUGAGUGAUGAAGGCCUUCGGGUUGUAAAACUCUUUCGACGGGGACGAUAAUGACGGUACCCGUAGAAGAAGCUCCGGCUAACUUCGUGCCAGCAGCCGC